This 435-nucleotide ribosomal RNA is filed under the name Leptodactylus myersi group sp. ABGD cluster 47. RNAcentral's name for it is "partial large subunit ribosomal RNA". It matches the Rfam family "Bacterial large subunit ribosomal RNA", at positions 1816 to 2460 of the family's 2925-position model. Lineage: Eukaryota; Metazoa; Chordata; Amphibia; Anura; Leptodactylidae. The record is from RNAcentral.
UCGCCUCUUGCAUACCUAUAAGAGGUCCAGCCUGCCCAGUGACUCUGUUCAACGGCCGCGGUAUCCUAACCGUGCGAAGGUAGCGUAAUCACUUGUUCUUUAAAUGAGGACUAGUAUGAAUGGCACCACGAAGGUUAUACUGUCUCCUCUCUCUAAUCAGUGAAACUAAUCUCCCCGUGAAGAAGCGGGGAUAAUCUUAUAAGACGAGAAGACCCUAUGGAGCUUUAAACUAAGAAUCAACUGCCUUUACCAUAUUUAAAUUCCAGAAGACUAACUUUUACCAAGACAUUCUGAUUUCUAGUUUUAGGUUGGGGUGACCACGGAGUAAAAACUAACCUCCGCAAUGAACAGGGAUCUUCCCUUAACCAAGGACCACAACCCCAAGAAUCAAUACAUUGACAUCAAUUGACCCAUUAAACCUGAUCAAUGAACCAA